AGGCGCCGUAAAGGGUGGGGUGGGGGACAUGUGAAAGCAGCUGCUGCCUAGGGGGUGGGAGGGUGAUGACCAGGGCAACUUGGGGUGGGGGGAAAGGCGGGAACAAAUGUUGCCCCUGGGUAGUUGUGGCUUGGUUUGGUGCACUGAAUCGCUGUGGGCCUCAAGGUGGACCUGGCCAACCGGCGAGUUUUGUUGUGUUUUUUUUUUUUUUUUUAAGAGGGUGUACCCACCUACAAGGCCCAGAUUUCGCAGACCCGAAGGCAGGCCAGCAGGCCAGCCCCUGGCGACUGGCGGGGAGGGAGACGCCGGCCGGGCUGGGUUGGGCUGGGCUGGGGCGGUAUUUCCUGGGGGGCCAAACGGUCGUCUUGCCCCAGGGCCUAGAGGCGUAUCCAGUCCCCAGGAAAAGUGCAUUAAGGGGAGGACCUAAGUACCUUUGGAUUCAUUUCUUUCCCUCUUCUCUAACCCUAAUUUUGCCAGUUCUGCCAGGGCAAGGGCAUCUCUCCGCACAUAGGCAUUUUCUUUUACCCUUCUUCCUGAAUUCAGGCUAAAGACUCCAAGCCACUGUAACAGGUCUAUCGCAGAUAAGCCUACCCAGCCUAGUGGAAGCGGGGACAAGGAUUUUGUGUGUAUAUGCGCGUGGGUGGCAUUUUGUUUGUGUUUUUCCCUCGGUGUAAGUUGGAGUUUAGACGUGACCAUGGGAACUAUCAUCAUGGGGCAAAAUUUUUGUUGAAAAUAACUUAAACACCCAUUACCACCAUCCGCUUGCAAGACUGGUUGAGGAGGACAAUCCCUGCUCUUAAAACUUCACCUUUCUGGGAAGAGGAGAGUUCUCAGGGCCAUUUCGCCUCCCAAGCAAUUUAUCAGCAGAGUGAAGGGUGCAAAUACCCAGAGACAGAGAGAGUGGGAACAGGAUUGGGGGUGAAAGUGGAGGGUUCUGGAGACUAAGUGACCUCUACUUGACAAACACCCAGAAAACAGGUGCCUGGCAGAACGCGAGCGGGAAAUAAGAGGUUUCUACUUUCUUUUGAGUUACUUGCUAAAAUCUACUUAAGUAGAAAGAUCCUCUCCGCAGGAUAUAAAUUCUAAGAACGUGAAACCCGCAUCUUUAAUAGCAGAAGCAGGAGGCCCUGCUCAAAUCAAGUUCUAGGUAGGCACAGGGUGGCUGCCAGAGAAGGGAGUUCUAAAAGGGAGGAUGGUCGAGAACAGGAUAGCUAGGUCUCUGGGUGGGGGUGGGGGGGGCGGCUUUGUGUGGCGGACCGGGUCGCGGGGCCCGGCUCCACUAGCCUUCUCCGAGGGUUAGGGGAGGAGGGGGAGGGGGAGGAGAAAGGGGUGAGGAGGGGAGGGGGCGGCCGCAGGAUUGACAGUCCGUAAUUGGGUAACUGGAGGCGGCUUCUCCCGGCCGGGCGGCCCCGCCACUGAGACGCCGGGCCCCUGACGUCACCUGAUUCGCCAGGAAAUGAACUUUUUAAUAAUCCGAGAAGGAAAAGACCCUGAGCCCUCUCACCCCCUCUGCACCCGGGACCAACCGUCCGGGCUCCCCGGUGCUGGACCGAACUUUCAAGAACACUUCACCCCCUACCAGGGCCCCAAGGGGCCGGGUUCCGACCUCUCCCGUGGUAAGGAGGCGGAGGCGCGUGACACCAACAUUUGUCCCACUUUCCUUUCUGCAAUUCGGUUUCCCCGCUAGGUUUGUUUGUCUGUCCAGGUAGGGUGAGGGGAGGGAAUCUCUGCAAGAAAAGAUGGAAGAUGGAGCUGGGUAGCCUGGGCUCUACCGUGGGUCGUAGAUUCCUCCCCACCCUCAGAUCCGCUUCCUUAGCCCAAUGCUCUCCUCCCCGUUCGCCGAUCGCCGCUGGCGGCCUCAGCCCCAGCUGGCCCUAGGACCGAAGGUCAGCAGAGGAGAGCUCGGCUGUCUUAUCCGGGAGGUAGAAAAUGAUCCGGAAGGUUGGGAGAAGCAAGAGGAACUCAGCCCGAGCCAUCCCCAGUCCCUGGGUUCUUGCUCCGGGAACCGAAAACUGGUCUGAGGCGGAGAAACCCGGCGCCAGUAGGUGGGACACGUUUUCGGGCGGUCUUAGGCUGCGGCCCCCGGGGUCAGAGCCCAAGAGGUCGCACAGCGGGCGGCCGGGCAAAAAGCUGGGGGGGAGGUGGGGGGAGAGAGUUGUUUGAAAUUAUUUUUCCUCUUAGAGUGACGCUGGCGCCUUCUGGGGAAAGUUUUUGUUGCAAAUUCUAACUACCAUGGCUCCAGGGGGCCAACAUUAGGGCUUCUCCGAGAACUUGCAACCUUAACUUUCCGCAGAUGAUAAAAAAAAUAAAAAUAAAACGAGCCCCCUUCCCUCCCCAAGAAA
Long non-coding RNA from Antechinus flavipes (yellow-footed antechinus), 2342 nucleotides. RefSeq lists it as uncharacterized. The record is from RefSeq and is a predicted model, not a curated record. The transcript has 2 exons. NCBI's taxonomy places the organism in Eukaryota, Metazoa, Chordata, Mammalia, Dasyuromorphia, Dasyuridae.